This 424-nucleotide ribosomal RNA is filed under the name bacterium. Its description in RNAcentral is "partial 16S ribosomal RNA". It matches the Rfam family "Bacterial small subunit ribosomal RNA", at positions 355 to 776 of the family's 1533-position model. The record is from RNAcentral.
UAAGGAAUAUUGGUCAAUGGAGGCAACUCUGAACCAGCCAUGCCGCGUGCAGUAAGACAGCCCUCUGGGUCGUAAACUGCUUUUAUCUGGGAAUAAACCUACUUACGUGUAAGUAGCUGAAUGUACCAGAAGAAUAAGGAUCGGCUAACUCUGUGCCAGCAGCCGCGGUAAUACGGAGGAUCCAAGCGUUAUCCGGAUUUAUUGGGUUGAGAGGGUGCGUAGGCGGCAUGUUAAGUCAGGGGUGAAAGACGGUAGCUCAACUAUCGCAGUGCACUUGAUACGGACAGGCUUGAAUGACCUAGAGGUAGGCGGAAUGUGACAAGUAGCGGUGAAAUGCAUAGAUAUGUCCCAGAACACCGAUUGCGAAGGCGGCUUACUAUGGUUUUAUUGACGCUGACGCACGAAAGCGUAGGGAUCAAACGGG